RNAcentral lists this unclassified non-coding RNA (307 nucleotides) under plant metagenome. Its description in RNAcentral is "partial contains 5.8S ribosomal RNA, internal transcribed spacer 2, and large subunit ribosomal RNA". The stretch from base 1 to 105 matches the Rfam family "5.8S ribosomal RNA", at positions 50 to 154 of the family's 154-position model. The record is from RNAcentral.
GAAAUGCGAUAAGUAGUGUGAAUUGCAGAAUACAGUGAAUCAUCGAAUCUUUGAACGCACAUUGCGCCCCUCGGUAUUCCGUGGGGCAUGCCUGUUCGAGCGUCAUCUACACCCUCAAGCUCUGCUUGGUGUUGGGCGUCUGUCCCGCCUCCGCGCGCGGACUCGCCCCAAAUGCAUUGGCAGCGGUUCCUUGCCCCCCUCUUUGCGCAGCACAUUGCCAUUCGAGGCGGCGGCGGCCCGCGUCCAACAAGCUCAACCCCCCCGUCUUUGACCUCGGAUCAGGUAGGGAUACCCGCUGAACUUAAGC